This 460-nucleotide ribosomal RNA is filed under the name Hyphopichia homilentoma. RNAcentral's name for it is "LSU rRNA". It matches the Rfam family "Eukaryotic large subunit ribosomal RNA", at positions 86 to 534 of the family's 3401-position model. The record is from RNAcentral. Lineage: Eukaryota; Fungi; Ascomycota; Pichiomycetes; Serinales; Debaryomycetaceae.
ACGGCGAGUGAAGCGGCAAAGCUCAAAUUUGGAAUCGCUUUCGGGCGAGUUGUAAUUUGAAGACUGUCUCUUGCGUGAGUGUCUUGUCGAAGUUCCUUGGAACAGGACGUCGCAGAGGGUGAGAAUCCCGUGCGAUGAGACCACGAGCGUGUGUAGAGGCAAGUCGACGAGUCGAGUUGUUUGGGAAUGCAGCUCUAAGUGGGUGGUAAAUUCCAUCUAAAGCUAAAUACAGGCGAGAGACCGAUAGCGAACAAGUACAGUGAUGGAAAGAUGAAAAGAACUUUGAAAAGAGAGUGAAAAAGUACGUGAAAUUGUUGAAAGGGAAGGGCUUGAGAUCAGACUGGGUUAAACCGGCCAGCAUCAGGUGCUGCGGCGAGACAAGACUGUGGGAAAGUGGCCUCGCUUCGGUGAGGUGUUAUAGCCCGCAGAGAUGUCGCCAGCGGCGCCUGAGGACUGCGCG